GACGAACGCUGGCGGCGUGCUUAACACAUGCAAGUCGAACGGUAAGGCCCUCCGGGGUACACGAGUGGCGAACGGGUGAGUAACACGUGGGUGAUCUGCCCUGCACUUCGGGAUAAGACUGGGAAACUGGGUCUAAUACCGGAUAGGACCCUGGGAUGCAUGUCCUGGGGUGGAAAGCGUUGGCGGGGUGGGGUGGGCCCGCGGCCUAUCAGCUUGUUGGUGGGGUGAUGGCCUACCAAGGCGACGACGGGUAGCCGGCCUGAGAGGGUGACCGGCCACACUGGGACUGAGAUACGGCCCAGACUCCUACGGGAGGCAGCAGUGGGGAAUAUUGCACAAUGGGCGCAAGCCUGAUGCAGCGACGCCGCGUGAGGGAUGACGGCCCUCGGGUUGUAAACCUCUUUCAGCACCGACGAAGCGCAAGUGACGGUAGGUGCAGAAGAAGGACCGGCCAACUACGUGCCAGCAGCCGCCGUAA
This 478-nucleotide ribosomal RNA is filed under the name uncultured bacterium. Its description in RNAcentral is "partial 16S ribosomal RNA". It matches the Rfam family "Bacterial small subunit ribosomal RNA", at positions 28 to 523 of the family's 1533-position model. The record is from RNAcentral.